UACGUAGGGUGCAAGCGUUGUCCGGAUUUAUUGGGCGUAAAGAGCUCGUAGGCGGUUAAGAAAGUCAGGUGUGAAACCUCCAGGCUCAACCUGGAGACGCCACUUGAUACUUCUUUGACUUGAGUCUGGUAGGGGUAAACGGAAUUCCUGGUGUAGCGGUGAAAUGCGCAGAUAUCAGGAGGAACACCGAUGGCGAAGGCAGUUUACUGGGCCAGUACUGACGCUGAGGAGCGAAAGCGUGGGGAGCGAACAGG
RNAcentral lists this ribosomal RNA (254 nucleotides) under uncultured prokaryote. RNAcentral describes it as "partial 16S ribosomal RNA". It matches the Rfam family "Bacterial small subunit ribosomal RNA", at positions 524 to 776 of the family's 1533-position model. The record is from RNAcentral.